CCAAUAGCGUAUAUUAAAGUUGUUGCAGUUAAAAAGCUCGUAGUUGAAUUUCGGGAUCAGUUGAUCGGUCGUGCCUCGGUACGUACUGGUCAAAUUGAUUCCUACCUUCUGACGAACCACGAUGUCAUUAAUUUGGUGUCGCGGGAAAUCAGGACUGUUACUUUGAAAAAAUUAGAGUGUUUAAAGCAGGCUCGCGCUUGAAUACAUUAGCAUGGAAUAAUGAAAUAGGACGUUUGAUUCUAUUUUGUUGGUUUCUAGGAUCGACGUAAUGAUUAAUAGGGAUAGUUGGGGGCAUUAGUAUUCAAUUGUCAGAGGUGAAAUUCUUGGAUUUAUUGAAGACUAACUACUGCGAAAGCAUUUGCCAAGGAUGUUUUCAUUAAUCAAGAACGAAAGUUAGGGGAUCGAAGACGAUCAGAUACCGUCGUAGUCUUAACCAUAAACUAUGCCGACUAGGGAUCGGAUGAUGUUAAUUUUUUAAUGACUCAUUCGGCGCCUUACG
Molecule: non-coding RNA, 499 nt
Filed under: uncultured Glomus
Lineage: Eukaryota; Fungi; Glomeromycota; Glomeromycetes; Glomerales; Glomeraceae
Also listed under: 1 other name
Description: SSU rRNA
Rfam family: Eukaryotic small subunit ribosomal RNA
Source: RNAcentral